Long non-coding RNA from Cannabis sativa, 703 nucleotides. RefSeq lists it as uncharacterized. The record is from RefSeq and is a predicted model, not a curated record. NCBI's taxonomy places the organism in Eukaryota, Viridiplantae, Streptophyta, Magnoliopsida, Rosales, Cannabaceae. The transcript has 2 exons.
UUUUCUAAACUUUAAAUGUGUUUAUUUCAUUGUUUUAGAAUUCAUAUUAGGAUGUUAAUGAAAUAUAUUUGUUAGUAAAUCUAGAUCCUGGUAAAAUAUUUCCAACAAGUCCACCGUGGCACUUAACUGUGAUUUUUGGAUAAAGGUAUGCAUAGUAAAACGGAACCAGGGUUUAGGUAAUUUAGCCGUCAAAAAUUUAGUUUUUGUGGUUAAGUGUUACAAACCGUAAAAUUCAGGUGGUUUAGCCGCCAGUAUCUUUUUUAUUUUUAAUUUAUAUAUUUUUCUAUGAAAAUAAAUAACACUAUAAAUUAACAAUUUCAAUCAUAUAUAUUGGAUAUAAUCAGGUCAAUUCGUGUUGAUACAUGUGUCGAUCCUAAUCCAACUCUAAUAAUAAUCGUACCAUUCAGGGCCGGGCAGAGGGUGGGGCAGCCGGGGCAUAGGCCUCAGGCCCCAUAAUUUUCGAGGCCCCAAAAAAAUUAAAAUUAGUAUAUAUACAUAUAUAAAAGUUUAUAGUAUAUUAAUAUUUAAUUUAACAAAUUACGAGAAGCUCUUGUGGCACAAGCGGUAAAUAGAGUGUUAUGUGUACCUUGAGAUCAAGGAUUCGAUCCUUCACACAUGCAUAUGUGUUUUGUUUUUGUAUUUCAAAGUGAUGUCUAAAAGGAAAAAAAGAUAAUAAGAAAUAAAUUAAAUAUUUUAAAGUAAA